GCCUUGGCCGCGGGAUUCCCUACAAUCUUGCUAGCGCAUGCCCUUUUAUAAAAGCUCCGGCGGUGUAAAAUGAGCGUGCGCCCCAUUAAAUAGUUGGAGAGGUAAUGGCUCACCAAGGCUACGAUGGGUAGGGGUUCUUAGUGGAAGGUCCCCCACACUGGCACUGAGAUACGGGCCAGACUCCUACGGGAGGCAGCAGUAGGGAAUAUUGGUCAAUGGGCGCAAGCCUGAACCAGCCAUGCCGAGUGCAGGAUGAAGGCUCUCUGAGUUGUAAACUGCUUUUGUACAGGAGCAAAAAAGCCCCUGCGGGGGCUCUUGAGAGUACUGUAAGAAUAAGCACCGGCUAAUUCCGUGCCAGCAGCCGCGGUAAUACGGAAGGUGCAAGCGUUAUCCGGUUUUAUUGGGUUUUAAAGGGUGCGUAAGCGGCUUAUUAAAUCAGUUGUAGAAAAUCCUAGUGCUUAACGCUAGAACUGCGAUUGAUACUAUUAGGCUUGAGUUAAGAAGAGGUAGGCAGAAUUU
This 519-nucleotide ribosomal RNA is filed under the name Cardinium endosymbiont of Brevipalpus phoenicis. RNAcentral's name for it is "bacterial SSU rRNA". It matches the Rfam family "Bacterial small subunit ribosomal RNA", at positions 151 to 669 of the family's 1533-position model. Lineage: Bacteria; Pseudomonadati; Bacteroidota; Cytophagia; Cytophagales; Amoebophilaceae. The record is from RNAcentral.